UACGUAGGUGGCAAGCGUUGUCCGGAUUUACUGGGCGUAAAGAGCGCGCAGGCGGUCGAUUUAGUCGCGUGUGAAAGCCCCCGGCUCAACUGGGGAGGGUCACGCGAUACUGAUCGACUCGAAGGCAGGAGAGGGUAGUGGAAUUCCCGGUGUAGUGGUGAAAUGCGUAGAUAUCGAGAGGAACACCUGCGGCGAAGGCGGGUUGCUGGGCUGACACUGACGCUGAUGCGCGAAAGCCAGGGGAGCGAACGGG
RNAcentral lists this ribosomal RNA (253 nucleotides) under uncultured bacterium. RNAcentral's name for it is "partial 16S ribosomal RNA". It matches the Rfam family "Bacterial small subunit ribosomal RNA", at positions 524 to 776 of the family's 1533-position model. The record is from RNAcentral.